GACGAACGCUGGCGGCGUGCCUAAUACAUGCAAGUCGAACGCUUCUUUCCUCCCGAGUGCUUGCACUCAAUUGGAAAGAGGAGUGGCGGACGGGUGAGUAACACGUGGGUAACCUGCCCAUCAGAGGGGGAUAACACUUGGAAACAGGUGCUAAUACCGCAUAACAGUUUAUGCCGCAUGGCAUAAGAGUGAAAGGCGCUUUCGGGUGUCGCUGAUGGAUGGACCCGCGGUGCAUUAGCUAGUUGGUGAGGUAACGGCUCACCAAGGCCACGAUGCAUAGCCGACCUGAGAGGGUGAUCGGUCACACUGGGACUGAGACACGGCCCAGACUCCUACGGGAGGCAGCAGUAGGGAAUCUUCGGCAAUGGACGAAAGUCUGACCGAGCAACGCCGCGUGAGUGAAGAAGGUUUUCGGAUCGUAAAACUCUGUUGUUAGAGAAGAACAAGGACGUUAGUAACUGAACGUCCCCUGACGGUAUCUAAACAGAAAGCCACGGCUAACUACGCG
Molecule: ribosomal RNA, 508 nt
Filed under: uncultured bacterium
Lineage: Bacteria
Description: partial 16S ribosomal RNA
Rfam family: Bacterial small subunit ribosomal RNA
Source: RNAcentral